RNAcentral lists this transfer RNA (72 nucleotides) under Camelus bactrianus (Bactrian camel). It matches the Rfam family "tRNA". Rfam says of the family: Transfer RNA (tRNA) molecules are approximately 80 nucleotides in length. Their secondary structure includes four short double-helical elements and three loops (D, anti-codon, and T loops). RNAcentral also lists the same sequence under 2 other names. The record is from Rfam by way of RNAcentral. Lineage: Eukaryota; Metazoa; Chordata; Mammalia; Artiodactyla; Camelidae.
GGAGGUAUAGCUCAAGUGGUAGAGCACAUGCUUAGCAUGCAUGAGGUCCUGGAUUUGAUCCCGGUACCUCCU